Molecule: long non-coding RNA, 353 nt
Organism: Biomphalaria glabrata
Lineage: Eukaryota; Metazoa; Mollusca; Gastropoda; Planorbidae
Exons: 4
Source: RefSeq, a predicted model, not a curated record
AAGAAAUGACAGGAAAUUUAUGUACAAAUUUUGUUAUAAUUUCCAGAACAGUACAGACCUUAGUUUUCCUCAAGACACCUGUGAAUUUAAUGUUUGUCUAAAGAAUCAGACUGACCUAUCAUAUAUUUCCAGUCCUGGAGAUGAGAAUCAAGAUACAUGUAAAUUUUUGAUCCUCAUUAUUUCACCAGUGACCAGUGCUAAGUCGAGUCAGAUGAUGUUGAAGUUCAACUAACUGGUGAUCAUGAAAUUCAGGAGUGAGAAGGUGGAGAAGCUGAUCUACACAAAUAUGUUUUUGGCUGUAAGAAGAAUCCUGGUCAUAGCCAGUUUAUAUCUGUAGAUACAUUUAAAUUGAA